GCCUCUGUAACUCAGUGGCAGAGCGUUGGUCUUGUAAACCCGGGGUCGGCAGUUCAAUGCUCAUAGGAGGCA
Non-coding RNA from Acanthoscelides obtectus, 72 nucleotides. Lineage: Eukaryota; Metazoa; Arthropoda; Insecta; Coleoptera; Chrysomelidae. The record is from the annotation of a GenBank genome assembly.